This 1320-nucleotide ribosomal RNA is filed under the name Peripatoides sp. NZAC03005975. RNAcentral's name for it is "SSU rRNA". It matches the Rfam family "Eukaryotic small subunit ribosomal RNA", at positions 53 to 1257 of the family's 1831-position model. Lineage: Eukaryota; Metazoa; Onychophora; Udeonychophora; Euonychophora; Peripatopsidae. The record is from RNAcentral.
GCACGUCUAAGUACUCGCCUUGUCUAUUAAAGUGAAACCGCGAAUGGNNCANNAAAUCAGUUAUGGUUCACUAGAUCGUACCUCAUCCUACUCGGAUAACUGUGGUAAUUCUAGAGCUAAUACAUGCAACUAGGCCCUGCCCGGCCGCCUUCACGGGUGGUCGGAAAGGGCGCCAUUAUCAGCCCAAAACCGACCGGGUUGCCCAACAGGGCUCCCGUCCUUAUACCCUUUGACGACUCUGGAUAACCUUCUAGCGGAUCGCCGGUGAACUAGGUCGGCCGGGCGGUGACGUCCGCGUCCGACCUACGGCGACUAGUCUUUCGAAUGUCUGCCUUAUCAACUGUCGACGGUAGGUUAGACGCCUACCGUGGUCGUAACGGGUGACGGGGAAUCAGGGUUCGAUUCCGGAGAGGGAGCCUGAGAAACGGCUACCACAUCCAAGGAAGGCAGCAGGCACGCAAAUUACCCAAUCCCUGCACGGGGAGGUAGUGACGAAAAAUAACGAUACGGGACUCUUAACGAGGCCUCGUAAUCGGAAUGAGUCCGCUCUAAAUCCUUUAACGAGGAUCUAUCGGAGGGCAAGUCUGGUGCCAGCAGCCGCGGUAAUUCCAGCUCCGAUAGCGUAUAUUAAAGUUGCUGCGGUUAAAAAGCUCGUAGUUGGAUUUGGGUUUUCGGGCCGGCGGGCCGCCGCCUUCGAGCGGCGCGUUUCCCGCCGCGCCCCCGGAACCGCACGGUCGCAGAGGCCCCCGCGGUGCUCUUGAGUGAGUGUCCGCGGUCUCGGGUCGCCGAACGUUUACUUUGAAAAAAUUAGAGUGCUCCAGGCAGGCCGGUAAAGCGUUUUUAAACCCGCGCCUGAAUAGUCACGCAUGGAAUAAUGAAAGAGGACCGGUGGUCCUAUUUUGUUGGUUUUCGGGAUUUUCCGCCGUCAUGAUUAAGAGGGACGGCCGGGGGCAUUCGUACCGCGGCGCGAGAGGUGAAAUUCUAGGACCGUCGCGAGACGAACCGUUGCGAAAGCAUUUGCCAAGAAUGUUUUCCUUAAUCAAGAACGAAAGUCAGAGGUUCGAAGGCGAUCAGAUACCGCCCUAGUUCUGACCGUAAACGAUGCCACCUGACGAUCCGCCAGGGUUACUACCAUGACUCGGCGGGCAGCCCCCGGGAAACCCAAGCCUUCGGGUUCCGGGGGAAGUAUGGUUGCAAAGCUGAAACUUAAAGGAAUUGACGGAAGGGCACCACCAGGAGUGGAGCCUGCGGCUUAAUUUGACUCAACACGGGGAACCUCACCCGGCCCGGACACCGCGAGGAUUGACAGAUUGAGAGCUC